Branchiostoma floridae (Florida lancelet) is the source of this 1593-nucleotide long non-coding RNA. RefSeq lists it as uncharacterized. The transcript has 4 exons. NCBI's taxonomy places the organism in Eukaryota, Metazoa, Chordata, Leptocardii, Amphioxiformes, Branchiostomatidae. The record is from RefSeq and is a predicted model, not a curated record.
AUAUAACCGUUGCUCAAUAUGGCGCGCGUAGGCGUGGAACAACAGGAACGUGUCCACAUUGAGGUCAAGAAGACGGGGACGUUCGUGGCUAUUGCAAAAGGUGCAUACAACAGUCACAACUUCGCCGUAAAGAACCUCCAGGAUUGUAAACGUCCGUACGAGUACGAUGGCAGAGAAGCCUACCUGUGCCUGCCGUUCGGAGGGGGCUUCUCUAGUUGCGGAGAUUUCUUCGCAGCGGCUGUUUACUAUGUCUCUUUGCUCACGUGGAUUAUUCCCGCUGUGGUAAAAUAAUUUGAUAUUUUUUUUCUUUUGUGGCAUAAACAAAUUAAUACUGAGGCAUUUGAUUGUACGACAUACUGCUCACCAUAGUACUACAUGGAACUAUGCACCAACAGAUAUGAUCUAAGUUAGGUGUGACGGGUCGUUCGGUGUAAUAUAACCAGCUGCUGCCGCGUGCCUGCGAAGCUGGUGUGUUACGCCGAACGGCGGUUAUACCGGCUAUAUAAAUACAGAUACAAUAUUUCUGAAUAUUGGAACUACAUUUUGGAUAGUAACGAUAUAUCAAUAAAAGUCUUAAACAGUGAAAUGUUUCUGAAAUUUUCUAUCAUAAACACAUAACACAACUUUCUUAAUUAGGCAAUUUUUGCCAAAUGGAUUUUACAUACGUAUACACAUACAUGCAUUCUUAUUUCAUUUUAGUUGGCUUAUGGGACUGUGAACAGGCGACCAUCUGAAGAGCUAUUCUCAAAAGGCUAUUUGGAUUUCUCGUUCGUCUUCUACUUCUUCUUGUCUCUCUAUCACGUGGCUGCCUUCGUCAUCAUCUGUAUUAACUGGAACACCUUCAACAACGCCUGGUACAUGAUUGAGGUCAACAAUCUUGUUGAUUCCAAAAAUGAGUUCUUUGAAGUUACCGCCUCUUCUGCUCGGUCUCUUACAUUCCUACAUGCCGAUCAACAAAACUUCCUUCUUGCCCGGCUGGAGGCAAGCAAUGAUGUUACCCUUGGUGUUAUGGCAUACACCUCUGCCUACACAAGAGACCAGUUUACUGUUCCUGCCAUCCAGCUUUUCGUUUUCACCGCUCUAUCAAUUAUGUCCGCCGGCAUACAGUUUGGCACGCUGGCAAAUUUUACGUGAAAAAUGAGGCUUUCCUAAUAAUUUGUUAAAGACCGCAAAUUAAACACCCAAAUUUUGCGGAAAUCAUUGUCAUGUUUGUAUGAUAAAUGCUGGAGAGAUUCAAGUUGUUUGUUUAACUGAACUAGUAGGUAAGCUAAACGAUUGACUAGCCUGGGCUUUAUCAUCAUGAUCAAACAUGCCAAGUGCUUUCUUUAUGAUCAUUAGUCAACAAAGGUUUGUAUAGAAUACAGAUGCUUAUAUACUACAAUUAUAUGAGAAGUCAACAAGACUGUGUGUAUCAGUUUGCAUAUAUUUUGGCAUAUAUUUUGGUAAACACUUUGACAAAUAGCCCGACUUCGAAAUAAGGAGUUUAAGGGUCUAUUGUUUAGGCAAGGCAGAGAAUACAUUGACGUGUUGACCUGCAAGUAAUUUGAAUGACUUUUUGGAAAUGUAUGAAGAAGCAGAUAAACCAGCUAUAGG